GUGUCAGCCGCCGCGGUAAAACGUAGGAGGCAAGCGUUAUCCGGAUUUACUGGGUGUAAAGCGCGCGCAGGCGGUUCGUUAAGGGGGGUGUGAAAGCGCUCAGGCUCAACCGGGCGAGGACAUGUCCGACUGGCGAACUGGAGGCAGGUAGAGGCGGGUGGAAUUCCGGGUGUAGUGGUGAAAUGCGUAGAGAUCCGGAGGAACACCAGUGGCGAAGGCGGCCCGCUGGGCCUGACCUGACGCUCAGGCGCGACAGCAUGGGGAGCGAACGGGAUUAGAUACCCGUGUAGUCC
This 293-nucleotide ribosomal RNA is filed under the name uncultured bacterium. Its description in RNAcentral is "partial 16S ribosomal RNA". It matches the Rfam family "Bacterial small subunit ribosomal RNA", at positions 505 to 796 of the family's 1533-position model. The record is from RNAcentral.